RNAcentral lists this ribosomal RNA (253 nucleotides) under uncultured bacterium. RNAcentral describes it as "partial 16S ribosomal RNA". It matches the Rfam family "Bacterial small subunit ribosomal RNA", at positions 524 to 776 of the family's 1533-position model. The record is from RNAcentral.
UACAUGAGGUGCAAACGUUGCUCGGAAUUAUUGGGCGUAAAGCGCGCGUAGGCGGUUACUCAAGUCAGAUGUGAAAGCCCUCGGCUUAACUGAGGAAGUGCACCCGAAACUGAGUAGCUAGAGUACUAAAGAGGGUCGCGGAAUUCCCGGUGUAGAGGUUAAAUUCGUAGAUAUCGGGAGGAACACCGAUGGCGAAGGCGGCGACCUGGGUAGAUACUGACGCUGAGGCGCGAAAGCGUGGGGAGCAAACAGG